UAGUGUAAUGAAUCAGCACGGCAGACCGGAUAUCUGUAAGUGCGGGUUCGAGUCCCGC
This 58-nucleotide transfer RNA is filed under the name Dictyocaulus viviparus (bovine lungworm). It matches the Rfam family "tRNA", at positions 8 to 63 of the family's 71-position model. Rfam says of the family: Transfer RNA (tRNA) molecules are approximately 80 nucleotides in length. Their secondary structure includes four short double-helical elements and three loops (D, anti-codon, and T loops). The record is from Rfam by way of RNAcentral. Lineage: Eukaryota; Metazoa; Nematoda; Chromadorea; Rhabditida; Metastrongylidae.